CCUACGGGUGGCAGCAGUGGGGAAUAUUGCACAAUGGGCGCAAGCCUGAUGCAGCCAUGCCGCGUGUGUGAAGAAGGCCUUCGGGUUGUAAAGCACUUUCAGCGGGGAGGAAGGCGUUAAGGUUAAUAACCUUGGCGAUUGACGUUACCCGCAGAAGAAGCACCGGCUAACUCCGUGCCAGCAGCCGCGGUAAUACGGAGGGUGCAAGCGUUAAUCGGAAUUACUGGGCGUAUAGCGCACGCAGGCGGUCUGUCAAGUCGGAUGUGAAAUCCCCGGGCUCAACCUGGGAACUGCAUUCGAAACUGGCAGGCUAGAGUCUUGUAGAGGGGGGUAGAAUUCCAGGUGUAGCGGUGAAAUGCGUAGAGAUCUGGAGGAAUACCGGUGGCGAAGGCGGCCCCCUGGACAAAGACUGACGCUCAGGUGCGAAAGCGUGGGGAGCAAACAGGAUUAGAUACCCGGGUAGUC
This 465-nucleotide ribosomal RNA is filed under the name uncultured Klebsiella sp. RNAcentral's name for it is "bacterial SSU rRNA". It matches the Rfam family "Bacterial small subunit ribosomal RNA", at positions 338 to 795 of the family's 1533-position model. Lineage: Bacteria; Pseudomonadati; Pseudomonadota; Gammaproteobacteria; Enterobacterales; Enterobacteriaceae. The record is from RNAcentral.